AACGCGAAGAACCUUACCCAGGCUUGAACAGCGAGUGACCAUCGACGAAAGUUGACUUCCGCAAGGACACUCGUAGAGGUGCUGCAUGGCUGUCGUCAGCUCGUGUCGUGAGAUGUUGGGUUAAGUCCCGCAACGAGCGCAACCCUCGUCCUAUGUUGCCAGCGGAUAAUGCCGGGGACUCAUAGGAGACUGCCGGGGUCAACUCGGAGGAAGGUGGGGAUGACGUCAAGUCCUCAUGCCCCUUAUGUCUUGGGCUGCAAACAUGCUACAAUGGCCAGUACAAAGGGUUGCGAGACCGCAAGGUGGAGCGAAUCCCAAAAAGCUGGUCUCAGUUCGGAUUGGGGUCUGCAACUCGACCCCAUGAAGUCGGAGUCGCUAGUAAUCGCAGAUCAGCAACGCUGCGGUGAAUACGUUCCCGGGCCUUGUACACACCGAGUAUA
This 440-nucleotide ribosomal RNA is filed under the name uncultured bacterium. Its description in RNAcentral is "bacterial SSU rRNA". It matches the Rfam family "Bacterial small subunit ribosomal RNA", at positions 958 to 1398 of the family's 1533-position model. The record is from RNAcentral.